ACGCUGGCGGCGUGCCUAAUACAUGCAAGUCGAGCGAAUGGAUUGAGAGCUUGCUCUCAAGAAGUUAGCGGCGGACGGGUGAGUAACACGUGGGUAACCUGCCCAUAAGACUGGGAUAACUCCGGGAAACCGGGGCUAAUACCGGAUAACAUUUUGAACUGCAUGGUUCGAAAUUGAAAGGCGGCUUCGGCUGUCACUUAUGGAUGGACCCGCGUCGCAUUAGCUAGUUGGUGAGGUAACGGCUCACCAAGGCAACGAUGCGUAGCCGACCUGAGAGGGUGAUCGGCCACACUGGGACUGAGACACGGCCCAGACUCCUACGGGAGGCAGCAGUAGGGAAUCUUCCGCAAUGGACGAAAGUCUGACGGAGCAACGCCGCGUGAGUGAUGAAGGCUUUCGGGUCGUAAAACUCUGUUGUUAGGGAAGAACAAGUGCUAGUUGAAUAAGCUGGCACCUUGGCGGUACCUAACCAGAAAGCCACGGCUAACUACGUGCCAGCAGCCGCGGUAAUACGUAGGUGGCAAGCGUUAUCCGGAAUUAUUGGGCGUAAAGCGCGCGCAGGUGGUUUCUUAAGUCUGAUGUGAAAGCCCACGGCUCAACCGUGGAGGGUCAUUGGAAACUGGGAGACUUGAGUGCAGAAGAGGAAAGUGGAAUUCCAUGUGUAGCGGUGA
This 671-nucleotide ribosomal RNA is filed under the name uncultured Bacillus sp. RNAcentral's name for it is "bacterial SSU rRNA". It matches the Rfam family "Bacterial small subunit ribosomal RNA", at positions 33 to 684 of the family's 1533-position model. Lineage: Bacteria; Bacillati; Bacillota; Bacilli; Caryophanales; Bacillaceae. The record is from RNAcentral.